Diceros bicornis minor is the source of this 628-nucleotide long non-coding RNA. RefSeq lists it as uncharacterized. The transcript is spliced from 4 exons. The record is from RefSeq and is a predicted model, not a curated record. Lineage: Eukaryota; Metazoa; Chordata; Mammalia; Perissodactyla; Rhinocerotidae.
UGGGCAAUGUAUGAAUAUUGUUAUUGUUACUAGUCUACAGAACCUUCAGAAUGUAGGUUCCAUGAGAGCAACCACAGUUAACCACUGUGUUCUGAAAAUGUACCAGGGACUUGCUUGAAUCAGGCUGGGAAAAUUCCUGAAACUUUGCUCCAGCCUACCACUGAUUGGACUACACUCUAGCGACAACAAGACUGUAAUGUCAUGGAGUGUUCCCAGUGCAGGAGCAUCUCAUCAGACCUCCCCACAGUCCUGCUGUGCCCUGCCUUUCUCUGGGUCUCUCCCACUAUUCCAGCACUUUGACAUGUUGUGGAUUACACUCUCAGGUUCUUUCAUCAAUUUAACAUUAAAAUUCCUGUGAAAUAUUAAUGAAAUAAUGCUAAAAAAAAGAAAAAUGUUCCUACAAUACUGCAACAUUUUAAUGCCUCAUUAAAAUCAUUAGCAAUGCUAAUACUAAAGAACUUACUUCAUCUUUCAAAGAGCCAAAAAAUAAAUCAUAAUAAAAUGUUUGUUAACAUUACAUCUGGAGAAAUAAAUUAUACAAUGCCUUUCUGUAUGGGCUUUAUAUAUUCUAAAGAUGACACACUAAGGUCACACUAUUAAGUACAUGCAACUAGUUUUUUCUAUGGAA